GAUGGCACUCUGUCGGCGCUAACUUCUUAGAGGGACAAGUGGCGUUCAGUCACACGAGAUUGAGCAAUAACAGGUCUGUGAUGCCCUUAGAUGUUCGGGGCCGCACGCGCGCUACACUGAAGGAGUCAACGUGUCUGCUUCCUGAUCCGAAAGGACCGGGCAACCCGAUGAACGUCCUUCGUGCUAGGGAUUGGGGCUUGUAAUUCUUCCCCAUGAACGAGGAAUUCCCAGUAAGCGCGAGUCAUAAGCUCGCGUUGAUUACGUCCCUGCCCUUUGUACACACCGCCCGUCGCUACUACCGAUGGAUGGUUAGGAGAUCCUUGAUGUCCCGCCGAGAC
This 338-nucleotide ribosomal RNA is filed under the name Lumbricidae environmental sample. RNAcentral's name for it is "SSU rRNA". It matches the Rfam family "Eukaryotic small subunit ribosomal RNA", at positions 1385 to 1725 of the family's 1831-position model. Lineage: Eukaryota; Metazoa; Annelida; Clitellata; Crassiclitellata; Lumbricidae. The record is from RNAcentral.